Non-coding RNA from Mycena metata, 98 nucleotides. Lineage: Eukaryota; Fungi; Basidiomycota; Agaricomycetes; Agaricales; Mycenaceae. The record is from the annotation of a GenBank genome assembly.
UCUUGACUAGUAUAUCGGUUUAGUACAGCCGCUUGUCAUAGGCAUUAUCGCUGUAAUCUAUUACGCGGCAGAGCUGGGUUCGACUCCCAGGUCGAGAG